Molecule: ribosomal RNA, 465 nt
Filed under: Vreelandella stevensii
Lineage: Bacteria; Pseudomonadati; Pseudomonadota; Gammaproteobacteria; Oceanospirillales; Halomonadaceae
Description: partial 16S ribosomal RNA
Rfam family: Bacterial small subunit ribosomal RNA
Source: RNAcentral
CCUACGGGUGGCAGCAGUGGGGAAUAUUGGACAAUGGGCGAAAGCCUGAUCCAGCCAUGCCGCGUGUGUGAAGAAGGCCUUCGGGUUGUAAAGCACUUUCAGUGGGGAAGAAAGCCUUGGGGCUAAUACCCUCGAGGAAGGACAUCACCCACAGAAGAAGCACCGGCUAACUCCGUGCCAGCAGCCGCGGUAAUACGGAGGGUGUGAGCGUUAAUCGGAAUUACUGGGCGUAAAGCGCGCGUAGGCGGUCUGAUAAGCCGGUUGUGAAAGCCCCGGGCUCAACCUGGGAACGGCAUCCGGAACUGUCAGGCUAGAGUGCAGGAGAGGAAGGUAGAAUUCCCGGUGUAGCGGUGAAAUGCGUAGAGAUCGGGAGGAAUACCAGUGGCGAAGGCGGCCUUCUGGACUGACACUGACGCUGAGGUGCGAAAGCGUGGGUAGCAAACAGGAUUAGAUACCCUGGUAGUC